CCCUUAGAUGUUCUGGGCCGCACGCGCGCUACACUGACUGGAUCAACGAGUUGUCCACCUUGGCUGAAGAGUCCGGGUAAUCUUGUAAAAUCCAGUCGUGAUGGGGAUAGAUUAUUGCAAUUAUUAAUCUUCAACGAGGAAUUCCUAGUAAGGGUGGUUCAACAGACCGCCCUGAUUACGUCCCUGCCCCUUGUACACACCGCCCGUCGCACCUACCGAUUGAAUGGUCCGGUGAAGCCUCCGGAUUGGCGCGCACCUCGGUGCCGCCGAGAAGUUGGCUAAACCUUACCAUUUAGAGGAAGGUGAANUCGUANCA
This 316-nucleotide ribosomal RNA is filed under the name uncultured eukaryote. RNAcentral's name for it is "partial 18S ribosomal RNA". It matches the Rfam family "Eukaryotic small subunit ribosomal RNA", at positions 1470 to 1796 of the family's 1831-position model. The record is from RNAcentral.